UCCCCUCCAUGCAUCUCCGCCGCCGCCGCCCCCCAUAUCCACCGCACGAGGGCUCGCCCGUCCGCGCCGGCGACACGCCUCCACCAUCCAAUCAUCCCAUCCUUGCUCUUCCAGCGUCUGACAUCGGCCGCGUCUACUCCUCCACCGCUCCCUGCCCGCCCCGCAAGAAGCCCCGUAGCUCUGCGUCCGCCGCCGCGGGCGGCAAGCCUCCUGUGAUCGUCUACUACUACUGUCGCCGCAAGAAGUCGCGGCUCGAGGAGCCACGGCCGUCCUCGCUGGUGUCGCGACAGCUGGAGGAGGAGGCGCUGGGCAGGGGCUCAUGGCGGAAGCGCCCGCUCACGAGCUGCUCAGCCUGGGGUCUGCCCCGCCUGCAUUGGGCGCAGAUAGAGACGGGGAGGAGCUGAUGGGGCGACGACAGCCGAGGCGCAGAGGAGAAGGGGGGAGAUAAUGGCUGCGCUGCUCCCGCCCCACGACGAAGUCUGCGUCAAAACUGAAGAAGACGGCUUCGGGGCCAUAGUCCAUGUGGAUUUGUUCAUCAAUUCGUUUCCAUCGGUGGAAGAUGACGGGUGUGAGGUGGCGCCCUGGUCAACAGGAAACGCACACAACGCCACCAUAGCCGAGUUGUAUGGAACGCCUCAAGUCUCUGCUCCACCAACGUCGCCUAUUUGAGCUUUAUUCGUUUUUAUAUUUGCCUAGAAGAUGUUCCAUGAAAAUCACAGAAGCACCGGCUGCACCGCACCGGGUUUAGGCUCGUCAAGAAGGUUGUGGCUGGAAGAUAGUGCAACAAGAACGGCCAACUAGAAUACUUGUUCUUCGUGUAAUUUUGACGCUGGCUUUGUCGCACGUUGGAAAUUCAGGGUGCCGAUCCGCAGGCGUUUGUCGGUUUAGUGUGCAAGGUUUUCUGGCCCAAAGAUGAUGAUUGGUACAAGGGUUCCAUCACGGCCUACACGGAACUAACCAAGAAUUUUGUGAAGUAUGAAGACCUUACCCUAGAUAAUGAAAUGAUAAAUUUUUCAUUUCAUCUGAGGAAAUGAAGUGCCUGAACCUGAAAUUUGGAUCAUCUAACCUGGAUAUAAGAAGGGAUACGAUGAGCUACUUGCACCUGCUGUCAGCUUUCAUGACUACCAAGGUCUUGAUCCAGAUAAUAUAGCGUGGGCUAAAAUAACAGGUACUCCUAUGUCUUUUCCUUAUGAGUGCCGAUGCUUCUAGCUGUUAACUGCGAUUAGAUGCCAAUGGUCCUUUCCAUUUAUUCUUUCUGCCAUCACAAGUUUUAUUGCAUUGUUUGUAGUCAUUGUCCAUAUUACUUUGAACUUUUACAGUGUGAUACUUUAUUUAUUCUAGUGUUUAUGGUAGUUUUGCAUCAACUUACAACUUUAUUAGAUUUCUCAUGCAUAUCACAUGUGUUAGAUGGUUAACUGUCUCUUUUUACAGAAAAUGCUUUCCAAUGUUAAGCCCAGUAUUGAUUUAUUAUUUGAAAUUUUCAUAUUCAUCUCCCCAAUUACCCGGCAUUAACUUUUUAUUUUAUAAUUUAGUCCUAUUUUCCUCCACAUUCCUA
Molecule: long non-coding RNA, 1555 nt
Organism: Triticum aestivum (bread wheat)
Lineage: Eukaryota; Viridiplantae; Streptophyta; Magnoliopsida; Poales; Poaceae
Exons: 5
Source: RefSeq, a predicted model, not a curated record